UGGGGAAUAUUGGACAAUGGGCGGAAGCCUGAUCCAGCAACGCCGCGUGAGGGAUGACGGCCUUCGGGUUGUAAACCUCUUUCAGUACCGACGAAGCGAAAGUGACGGUAGGUACAGAAGAAAGGACCGGCCAACUACGUGCCAGCAGCCGCGGUAAUACGUAGGGUCCGAGCGUUGUCCGGAAUUAUUGGGCGUAAAGGGCUCGUAGGCGGUUUGUCGCGUCGGGAGUGAAAACAGCGGGCUUAACUCGUUGCUUGCUUUCGAUACGGGCAGACUAGAGGUAUGCAGGGGAGAAUGGAAUUCCUGGUGUAGCGGUGAAAUGCNCAGAUAUCAGGAGGAACACCGGUGGCGAAGGCGGUUCUCUGGGCAUUACCUGACGCUGAGGAGCGAAAGUGUGGGGAGCGAACAGGAUUAGAUACCCUGGUAGUCCACACCGUAAACGUUGGGCGCUAGGUGUGGGGUCCUUUCCACGGAUUCCGUGCCGUAGCUAACGCAUUAAGCGCCCCGCCU
RNAcentral lists this ribosomal RNA (510 nucleotides) under uncultured bacterium. RNAcentral describes it as "partial 16S ribosomal RNA". It matches the Rfam family "Bacterial small subunit ribosomal RNA", at positions 355 to 874 of the family's 1533-position model. The record is from RNAcentral.